RNAcentral lists this long non-coding RNA (624 nucleotides) under Mus spretus (western wild mouse). Its description in RNAcentral is "lncRNA (ENSMSPG00010044960.1)". Lineage: Eukaryota; Metazoa; Chordata; Mammalia; Rodentia; Muridae. The record is from RNAcentral.
UUGAGUCUUGCUGGAGGAUGGAGCUAGGGGCUGAGAAAGCUAGGGCAGAGCUCUAGAUCCCCGAAUUUUAGUGUGGGGGAGAGCUUGCUGUUGGGGAUCCAGACAUUAUAAAGGAGUUCUGGCCCACUUGUGAGAUUGGAGAGAAAGAUCUGAGGCUGUGACUCCAACGUCCUGGGGAAGAGGGAGCUUAAGAGACCCGCUUGAAGAUCCUGAGAGAAAGAAUGUGAGCCUGGGGGUGGGAGGGUCCUGGGCUCAGAGAAGGGGGACCUCCCUGCGCCUGAGGUCCGUGUCUGGGAACCUCUGCGCCUCACCUUCCAGAAUGCAAGGGGCGGGGUCACUCGGACUCGGUGGAAGAGGCCCCCGGACUUCCCUUCGGUGUGUCGGGUACAAGAUUUUGCAGCCUUUUAACGAGGAAGCCCCGCCCACGGCCCCGCCUUCUGCCCGCACCUUGCUGCGGUGCGGCUGGACCCGCAAGCGCUCGAGGAGGGGCACGGACUGGAGUGACUUUAGGAGGAGGGGCUGGAGCCUCGGAAACCGAGGGCGGCGGGACCAGCCCUGGCUGAAGUCCCAAGGUGCUGCAAUAAGCUUGUUGUUAAGGUUGCAGAGGCUCGGCCGGAGCAGGUU